Cryptomeria japonica (Japanese cedar) is the source of this 369-nucleotide long non-coding RNA. RefSeq lists it as uncharacterized. NCBI's taxonomy places the organism in Eukaryota, Viridiplantae, Streptophyta, Pinopsida, Cupressales, Cupressaceae. The record is from RefSeq and is a predicted model, not a curated record. The transcript has 3 exons.
CAUGCCAGUUAGAUUUGCUUCAGGGAUUUGUGAAUGGGGUGGCCACUUAUUUUCUGCUAAAGUCUUAAAUAUAUAAAGUGCAAUUUAUAUUCCACGGAACAUGUUUAAGGUAGGUUAUAGCAGCUAGUUGAUAUGCAUUCCAACAUGUGCCUUCUUUCUCACAAACAAAAUGGCUACAAAGAAUGAGCAACUAAACUGUGGGAUGUAGAGCCAAAGCAAGCUGACUUGAAUGCUUUGGCUGCCCAACAAUCUUCAUUUUUCGAGUAGUUAGAUGGCCAAAUAUACUUGUAGUCUGAGUGCCAAUGGCACUCCUUGUGUUUCUUUUAAUCUACCUACAUUAUAUAAUAUGUCAAUGACGGUGAUGGUGCU